This 1245-nucleotide long non-coding RNA is filed under the name Chrysolophus pictus (golden pheasant). RNAcentral describes it as "lncRNA (ENSCPIG00010001990.1)". Lineage: Eukaryota; Metazoa; Chordata; Aves; Galliformes; Phasianidae. The record is from RNAcentral.
AUGGGUGUGAGAUGAGGGAAACCCUAUCAUUACAGCUGCCAAAAGCAAAAAAAAAAAAAAAAGACCUAUCAUGUUUCCUAGCUUUUUGUGUAUCAACUCAAGCAGAAGGCAGAAAGAAGUCACAGUGGAGGAGGAUCAACACAACACAUUACUGCUGUGUCAUUACUCAACUCCUAGAGGACACAAUGGAAAACUUCUGAUUAAUGACUUGGAGAGUCGGAGCACAGAAAUCCCGAAGAUCCAUUCACAAACAAAAGUUUGGCAUGUUGUGACUCAGCCCUGGGAGUGUCAGAAGACCAUCUAACUCGCUGGCUUCAGUGAGGACUUCUGAUAUUUUCUGUGCUCUUGAGGAUCCAUCUUUUCUACUUAAUAAUUAGCUGAGAAGGAAUUGUUCACUGAGAGGGACUUUGGUAUGCUGAUGGCUGUAUGGUUUUUAAAAUAGAAUGGUAUGGAAGACUUCUGUAUUUUCAAAGCACUGUACGAACUUCAUAUAAUCAGUUGGGUUGGAAGGAACCCUUAAGGGUCAUCAACUCCCCUGCAAUGAACAGAAACAUCUGCAGCAGUGAACAAAUCCUCCCUGCCCCCAGGAUUGCUGAGUAUGGAUGUUUCUGUUCGUGAAGGGAGAAACCAUCGAGGCUUGGAGAUUGUCUCAAAAUAUGUUUAGGCUUGAAAGACUGGUUUUGAUGUUGAGGGCUUUUUUGUAGUUUUAACUCAGGGAAUUUUCUUAAAAGCAAGCAAAACAGGACAAGAAAUUUAAAAACCAGAAAUUAGUUGAGUGAGAGAAAAUACUGAGAAAAAGGGGAAACUUUAUGGCUGUUCUGAAAAUAUCAGCUUGUCGUCCCCAUGAAGAUAGAAGAAUCCUCUUGAAACAGAACAGGCAUUACUGGGGUGGAGGUACUUGCUUCUCUGUGUCUAUUGCUGAAUAGCAGUCACUUUUAGGACAAAAUUUCUAAGAACACUGUAUAUAUGUAUGCAUGCAUGCAUGUAUGCAUCUAUUUAUCCAUCUGUUAUCUACAUAUCUAUCAAUCUAUUUAGCCACCUAUCCCUGUUUUUAAUGACCUACAGUAACGCUCUGCAUUUUAAGAACAGAGAUAGAAUGGCAAGGGAGUACUUUGUAAAAACCUAGGAAAUGCAAAUUAUGCUAUCUGCCAAGUCUGAGUUAAACUGAGGCUCUGUGUGCUGCGUGGUACACCAUUGUGUUCAGAUGUGAAUAAAAAAGUCCUGUGUAUAGAGUGUUGGAGGGAA